ACGUGGCUAUAUUUUGGUCCUCAGGAGUGGAAACCUGGAAAGUUGGACAAUAUUUCGGAAUUUACUUUAAUGAAGUUGUUUAGACUGUAGGCCAUACUUUAUGUUAAACUGCACUGAGGUCUGAUUAAAACGCCAUUAAUCCGUCAUUAUCCAUUACGCCGAGAUCAAGGAGACAUCUCCACUGGUCAUUUUGCCAACUUGCCAGGCUUGAUACAUCGUCCAUUUUAUGGAAAAUGCAAUAUAGUUUCAUUAGCUCUACUCGAAUUUUGCUGGUAGCUAAGAAGUGAGUGGUGUCCGAGGAACAGGGGAGGGGUAAGAUUUUCACUCCCCUUUGAGAAAACUCGCAAGCAAUUUAUAAAAUGCACGCCGAGUUAGAAUUGGGGACUUUUAAUACGCACAAUGUUCGCAAAUUGUAUGUCAAUUCUGAAACUUAAUCGCGUUCGUUUUCUCGGCACCUCUUUGUUCGAUACUAUACUUACACAGACCAAACUCUGGCACUGGGACCGGGAAGUCAAAGAACACUUUGCAAUAAUAAUAACAGAAUCAAAACCCUGCAAUUUACAGUGAGCAAAUCGACCUCAGCACACAGUUUACAAUGGGAACGAGAGAUUGAACAGAUCAAGCUAGAGAAAAUCCUGUUAAAUAUUACUUUGCACUUAAGUUAUAAAAUUAUUAUAGACAAAGCUUGUACGUACAACCAGGGAAGCAUUGUCGCACCAGUGGACAUACUUUUCUUUAUGGUAGCAACCCAUGUAUAACGGGCACUUUACAGCUGUCUCUCAAUCUUUCUAUCUAAUGAUUAAAUUGAUUUUGUUUUCGAUCACAGAUGAAUUCUCUCGGACUUCUUGUUUUGUCGUGUUGAAUUUAGAGUAAUUUCUCUCUCUGCUAAGUGUCACGCACAGGAUUAACUUGCGGAAUUAAUAAAGCGAAUAGUAAUUACAAAACCUAUAAUUAGACAAAAAUAAAUCUUUUAGUGGAGCAAUUCACUGAGAUGAGGAUGAAGAAAUCCCGCCAAUGCUGGAGGACAGGAGCCACCAGUGAUAUGCUCAACUCCAAUCGCUCUCGACUUGAUUCGCAGCAACCCGGCCGCCUUGAACAAAUCAUAAGAGCUCCAUGCGAAAUAAAACCAAUUUAAACCACUUUUAUGUUUGCAACUGCAGUUAGCUGAAUGGAAGACGGAAAGCGAACGCUGAUAGUGAACGUUACACUUGGCCUUGUUUUUAAUUUGAUUGUGUAUCACUGAGAUUGAAACUGCAAAAACAUUUCCACCUGAUACCAGGAAUCAUUUUAUUUUUAACAAAAAAACGGGGGGAAGACAUCAUCGGGUUGUGUAGAGAACAGCUCCCCCACCUCCCCCACUCACAGAUCUAUGGGAAAAGGCAGGCUCAAU
Molecule: long non-coding RNA, 1390 nt
Organism: Chiloscyllium plagiosum (whitespotted bambooshark)
Lineage: Eukaryota; Metazoa; Chordata; Chondrichthyes; Orectolobiformes; Hemiscylliidae
Source: RefSeq, a predicted model, not a curated record